Molecule: long non-coding RNA, 869 nt
Organism: Oryzias melastigma (Indian medaka)
Lineage: Eukaryota; Metazoa; Chordata; Actinopteri; Beloniformes; Adrianichthyidae
Exons: 2
Source: RefSeq, a predicted model, not a curated record
CCUUAAUUUAGCCUAUGAUUUUAAAAGUCAUAAAUAUAAAACUUUAUUCUCAUAUUUUAACAGUUACAAUGUUUUUCUUGUAAAUUAUCGUAAUUGAAGUAAACCCACAGAUGUCUUUCCGUUCAAUAAAAUUAAACACAAAAUACUUUCUCUGCUUACAUUUUGUUUAGUUCCAUAAGAUUUAUCAAACAACUGAGUUGAUAGUCGAGUAUCUUGGUCACAAACUUGAAUUCUCCUGAUAAAGUUUAGCUAAACUGUGACAGCAUUCGUGACCUUUUUGGCCAAAAGCACAUCAUUCAGCCCGGCCUCACACCAGAGUAAUUAUUUCAACAUUACAAUAAACCCCAGUGUCAUUUUUCUUAAGCCUGAUGGCUGAAACUUCAUCAAAUCGACAGCAAUUUAAAACUCCAGCCGACUCAUCAAAGGCCCUAAUCAACAAGUGUCAGUUUGAGGUCAGGUGGCAAGCUGAGGCUUCCUGCGUCUUCUUGUUGCAUGCAGAAUAUUCUGGCCAGUGAACCUCUGGUGCCUGGCUGCUGGUCAUUAAGGGUAUUAAUGAUUAACUGAGAAUGCUAUUGUCUCCGUAGGGCCAGCUGUCCCUCUGCCGUUGAUCGACUCCGGUGCCUCUGGGACUCUGAACCAGCUCCAUUCAUGUGCUAAAGUGACAGCUGCUCCUCACAUUCCACAGAAAAUGAACUGCAGGCACCGGAAAACAAGCCGGAGAGACAGAAAUAACAUAUGACAGAUUUGUCUGUUCCUCAAUGGAUGGAUCAGUGAUGAAAGAGUGGAUCGGAAGGAUUAUUUAUAUUCAAAGAGACAGAGAGGAGGAGACCUGAAGUGUUUGUCAUCCAUUAAACCAUUUCAAUAAUAUA